This 472-nucleotide ribosomal RNA is filed under the name uncultured bacterium. RNAcentral's name for it is "partial 16S ribosomal RNA". It matches the Rfam family "Bacterial small subunit ribosomal RNA", at positions 28 to 507 of the family's 1533-position model. The record is from RNAcentral.
GACGAACGCUGGCGGCGUGCUUAACACAUGCAAGUCGAACGCUGAAGCUUGGUGCUUGCACUGGGUGGAUGAGUGGCGAACGGGUGAGUAAUACGUGAGUAACCUGCCCUUGACUCUGGGAUAAGCCUGGGAAACUGGGUCUAAUACUGGAUACGACAUGUCACCGCAUGGUGGUGUGUGGAAAGGGUUUUACUGGUUUUGGAUGGGCUCACGGCCUAUCAGCUUGUUGGUGGGGUAAUGGCUCACCAAGGCGACGACGGGUAGCCGGCCUGAGAGGGUGACCGGCCACACUGGGACUGAGACACGGCCCAGACUCCUACGGGAGGCAGCAGUGGGGAAUAUUGCACAAUGGGCGAAAGCCUGAUGCAGCGACGCCGCGUGAGGGAUGACGGCCUUCGGGUUGUAAACCUCUUUCAGCACGGAAGAAGCGAAAGUGGCGGUACGUGCAGAAGAAGCGCCGGCUAACUACGUG